Molecule: long non-coding RNA, 504 nt
Organism: Dioscorea cayenensis subsp. rotundata (Guinea yam)
Lineage: Eukaryota; Viridiplantae; Streptophyta; Magnoliopsida; Dioscoreales; Dioscoreaceae
Exons: 3
Source: RefSeq, a predicted model, not a curated record
UGAGUUGCAUUUCUUUGAGAGUCUUGCUUCCUUUAAAGGUCUUGCUUUGAAGGCCAGUGCAUCCUCAAGGCUUCUUCUUCAUCCUCCUAAUUAGUUGAUCACUUUUCCUUUAAGUUCUUGGCAUUGACAGCAACUAAGGAGAGUGGAGCAUCUAGUUUUGGGUUGUUCAUCAAGAUUUCAGAUUAUUGUAGCAAGCCUUAGUUCGCGGGACUUGGUGAACCCAACUUUAUAGCUCGGAGCCAGGAGAAGAUCAAGUCUAGGAUCGGGGUGUCUUGGAGUCGUAUUUCCUGCUUUGGUAGUAUCUUUGUAGUGCAUUCUUUGUGUGAGCAAGACUUGUAUCCGUAUGUAUAUUUUGGUCUGUAGGCUGCUUGUAUGACUAUAUUUCUGUAGGGCUACUUAAGCUCAUGCAUGUAUUAUUUCAGUUAUGUCACCUUAUUUGUAGUUCUGUAUUACUGUUCAUAUUCUACUCGUUAGGGUUGACUCUGACCAGGUUAAAUCUGAGGC